UAAUAACGCAUAAAAAGAUAGUGUACUUAUCUAUGCAUUAAGAUAUUUACUCCCUACUGAAAUUAUUGGAAAAAUGUGGACCUCAUCCAUCCACUCAUUUACAACAUUUCUUUGACGUGACACCAAGUUUUUGAUCUUGUUUUUGCUGUUUCGUUCAAUGGAAGGAUUUUGGUACAUUUAUUGCUAAGUCGAUUUGACACGAAUGUUCAUUCUUUUAUGGAAUAAAAUAUGUCACGAAUAAUUAAUCAUGUUAUGUUAGACGAAGGGAUUGACUUUGUGCAAAGGUUGCAAUUGCCUAGAAAAUGAGUUAUCAUUAUGACGAUUGGGUUUGUAUUUUGUACCCAGACAAACUUUGUGAUGGGAGAACUUCCCCCAACUAAAACUUCUAUUUACAGGAUUGUGCAACUACAAAUUGCACCUGUUUGGACGGAUCAGGACCAAAGAUGGAUUUUCACGUAAGCAGUUGCCGUAUGAUUAACCAUGGAUCAGAAUGGAGAGAGGGCUAUAAUCUAAGGGGAGUUGUUCUAGGGAGGAAACAUCACAGGGUGCGUCAUAUCGCUCUUCAUGAGACAGUCACUUUUUUCAAGUCAACAUGGACAUUAUUAACCAAACGUACAUAUAAUCACUGUAAAAUCACUGACGCGUUAUGACGCAUGGAAACCAGGAUUUCUCGACUUUAAGCAUCUAGCAAUAAGCAAGAUUAUUUGACACUUUAUCAGUCUCAGGGUCCUUUGACUGUUUCCUUGGAGGAUUGUCUAGAAAUCUAUGUCAGAAAUCCAUGUCUAGAAAUCCUCCAAGGAAACAGUCAAAGGACCCUGAUCAGUCUAUAAGGUUACGACCAAGAUUCCUAAACUUUUUAGCUUGUUUCCGUGGAAGAAAUGUAUUAGGAUAAUGUAAUAAGGUUGUCCAAGGACGGGCCGUGUUUUAAAAAUUAUUAAAAAUUUGCGAGUUGGGGACAGGUACACAUUUUUUGGCGUUGUCACCCGUUGUUGGGUGAGUGAGAAAUUAUUUU
Folsomia candida is the source of this 1012-nucleotide RNA transcript. RefSeq lists it as uncharacterized. The record is from RefSeq and is a predicted model, not a curated record. NCBI's taxonomy places the organism in Eukaryota, Metazoa, Arthropoda, Collembola, Entomobryomorpha, Isotomidae. The transcript is spliced from 5 exons.